RNAcentral lists this ribosomal RNA (560 nucleotides) under uncultured bacterium. Its description in RNAcentral is "bacterial SSU rRNA". It matches the Rfam family "Bacterial small subunit ribosomal RNA", at positions 936 to 1504 of the family's 1533-position model. The record is from RNAcentral.
AUCAUGUGGUUCAAUUCGACAACAAACGAGAAACCUUACCAAGGCUUGACAUGCAUUGUGUCAACGAUGAAAGUCGUUUAGCUGUAGCAAUACAGCGCUUUGCACAGGUGCUGCAUGGUUGUCGUCAGCUCGUGUCGUGAGAUGUACCCUUAAGUGGGAAAACGAGCGCAACCCUUAUUUUUAGUUGCAACCCUUUAAUGGGGCACUCUAAAAAGACUGCCGGUGAUAAAUCGGAGGAAGGUGGGGACGACGUCAAAUCAGCAUGGCCCUUACGCCUUGGGCUACACACAUGAUACAAUGGCCGGUACAAAGGGACGCUAAACCGAGAGGUGGAGCAAAUCCCAUCAAAACCGGUCUCAGUUCGGAUUGAGGUCUGCAACUCGACCUCAUGAAGCUGGAAUCGCUAGUAACCGUGUAUCAGCUAUGGCACGGUGAAUACGUUCUCGGGCUUUGUACUCACCGCCCGUCACGCCAAGCGAGCUGGGGGCACCCGAAAGUCCGCGUUCGCGGAAAUAAGGUGAAUCUAGUGAGAGGGGCGAAGUCGUAACAAGGUAACCGUA